GAUUCCCCUAGUAACGGCGAGUGAAGCGGGAAGAGCUCAAGAUUUGAAAUCUGGCACCUUUGGUGUCCGAGUUGUAAUUUCUAGAGGUGUUUUCAGUACUUGGCUAGGUAUAAAUCCUUUGGAACAGGGUAUCAUAGAGGGUGAGAAUCCCGUCUUUGACCUGGACUAAGUACUAUGUGAUACAUCAUCAAAGAGUCGAGUUGUUUGGGAAUGCAGCUCUAAAUGGGUGGUAAAUUCCAUCUAAAGCUAAAUAUAGGCGAGAGACCGAUAGCGAACAAGUACCGUGAGGGAAAGAUGAAAAGAACUUUGAAAAGAGAGUGAAAAAGUACGUGAAAUUGCUAAAAGGGAAGCGAAAGAGACCAGUCUUACUAGCUAAUAAUCAACUUUACUUAUGUAUGGUGCACUUAUUAGUUAGUAGGCCAACAUCAGUUUUUUUUAUUAGAUAAUAGUAACAGGAAUGUAGCUUCUUGUAAGUGUUAAAGCCUGUUACUUGAUAUAAUAGAGGGGACUGAGGACUGCAGUGUGCUGUAUGGCGGCCUUUGGGCCUACACGCUAAGGAUGUUGGCAUAAUGGUUUUUUCCCGACCCGUCUUGAA
This 595-nucleotide ribosomal RNA is filed under the name Juncorrhiza casparyana. RNAcentral's name for it is "partial large subunit rRNA". It matches the Rfam family "Eukaryotic large subunit ribosomal RNA", at positions 73 to 658 of the family's 3401-position model. The record is from RNAcentral. Lineage: Eukaryota; Fungi; Entorrhizomycetes; Entorrhizales; Entorrhizaceae.